UACACUCCUGCGGGAGGCAGCAGUGGGGAAUUUUGGACAAUGGGCGAAAGCCUGAUCCAGCAAUGCCGCGUGAGUGAAGAAGGCCUUCGGGUUGUAAAGCUCUUUUGUCAGGGAAGAAACGGUGAAAGCUAAUAUCUUUUGCUAAUGACGGUACCUGAAGAAUAAGCACCGGCUAACUACGUGCCAGCAGCCGCGGUAAUACGUAGGGUGCAAGCGUUAAUCGGAAUUACUGGGCGUAAAGCGUGCGCAGGCGGUUUUGUAAGUCUGAUGUGAAAUCCCCGGGCUCAACCUGGGAAUUGCAUUGGAGACUGCAAGGCUAGAAUCUGGCAGAGGGGGGUAGAAGUCCACGUGUAGCAGUGAAAUGCGUAGAUAUGUGGAGGAACACCGAUGGCGAAGGCAGCCCCCUGGGUCAAGAUUGACGCUCAUGCACGAAAGCGUGGGGAGCAAACAGGAUUAGAAACCCUUGUAGUCCCAUGA
RNAcentral lists this ribosomal RNA (477 nucleotides) under uncultured organism. RNAcentral describes it as "partial 16S ribosomal RNA". It matches the Rfam family "Bacterial small subunit ribosomal RNA", at positions 332 to 800 of the family's 1533-position model. The record is from RNAcentral.